CCAGUCGUGGACGCUACACGAGUGAGAAUGCAGGCAUGAGUAGCGAAUGACGGGUGAGAAUCCCGUCCGCCGAAUGACCAAGGGUUCCUGGGGCAGGCUUUUCCGCCCAGGGUGAGUCGGGACCUAAGGCGAGGCCGACAGGCGUAGUCGAUGGACAACGGGUUGAUAUUCCCGUACCGGCGCUGACGCGCCCAUGCUGAACCUGGUUGUGCUAACCGUUCUGGUUCUUGUUCUGCUUUCGAGUGGGGCUUGGGCUGGUCGGGAUCCUGGCCAGUAGUAGGCAAGCGAUGGGGUGACGCAGGAGGAUAGUCCAACCCAGGAGGUGGUUUUCCUGGGGCAAGGGUGUAGGGCGAGACGUAGGCAAAUCCGCGUUUCAUGUGCCUGAGACCUGAUGCCGAGCCGAUUGUGGCGAAGUGGGUGAUUCCAUGCUGCCGAGAAAAGCCUCUAGCGAGUGUCAGGGCCGCCCGUACCCUAAACCGACACAGGUGGUCAGGUAGAGAAUACCGAGGCGUGCGAGUGAACUGUGGUUAAGGAACUCGGCAAAAUGCCCCCGUAACUUCGGGAGAAGGGGGGCCACUUCCUGUGUAGGAGCUUUGCCUCCGAAGCGGGGAGGGGCCGCAGAGACCAGGGGAAAGCGACUGUUUACUAAAAACACAGCUCCGUGCGAAGUCGUAAGACGAUGUAUACGGAGUGACGCCUGCCCGGUGCUGGAACGUUAAGGGGACGGGUUAGCUCUUCGGGGCGAAGCUCAGAACUUAAGCGCCAGUAAACGGCGGUGGUAACUAUAACCAUCCUAAGGUAGCGAAAUUCCUUGUCGGGUAAGUUCCGACCUGCACGAAUGGCGUAACGACUUUCCUACUGUCUCAACCACAGACUCGGCGAAAUUGCACUACGAGUAAAGAUGCUCGUUACGCGCGGCAGGACGGAAAGACCCCGGGACCUUUACUACAGCUUGAUAUUGGUGUUCGGUUCGGUUUGUGUAGGAUAGGUGGGAGACUGUGAAGCUGGGACGCCAGUUCCGGUGGAGUCGUUGUUGAAAUACCACUCUGGUCGUACUGGAUGUCUAACCUCGGUCCGUGAUCCGGAUCAGGGACAGUGUCAGGUGGGUAGUUUAACUGGGGCGGUUGCCUCCUAAAGGGUAACGGAGGCGCCCAAAGGUUCCCUCAGCCUGGUUGGCAAUCAGGUGUUGAGUGCAAGUGCACAAGGGAGCUUGACUGUGAGACAGACAUGUCGAGCAGGUGCGAAAGCAGGGACUAGUGAUCCGGCGGUGGCUUGUGGAAGCGCCGUCGCUCAACGGAUAAAAGGUACCCCGGGGAUAACAGGCUGAUCUUGCCCAAGAGUCCAUAUCGACGGCAAGGUUUGGCACCUCGAUGUCGGCUCGUCGCAUCCUGGGGCUGGAGUAGGUCCCAAGGGUUGGGCUGUUCGCCCAUUAAAGCGGUACGCGAGCUGGGUUUAGAACGUCGUGAGACAGUUCGGUCCCUAUCCGCCGCGCGCGCAGGAGACUUGAGAAGGGCUGUCCCUAGUACGAGAGGACCGGGACGGACGAACCUCUGGUGUGCCAGUUGUUCUGCCAAGGGCAUGGCUGGUUGGCUACGUUCGGAAGGGAUAACCGCUGAAAGCAUCUAAGCGGGAAGCUCGCUUCAAGAUGAGGUCUCCCACAGGGUAGCCUGGUAAGGCCCCCGACUAGAUGAUCGGGUUGAUAGGCCGGAGGUGGAAGUGCGGUGACGCAUGGAGCUGACCGGUACUAAUAGGCCGAGGGCUUGACUACU
This 1769-nucleotide ribosomal RNA is filed under the name Parafrankia irregularis. Its description in RNAcentral is "bacterial LSU rRNA". It matches the Rfam family "Bacterial large subunit ribosomal RNA", at positions 1267 to 2925 of the family's 2925-position model. The record is from RNAcentral. Lineage: Bacteria; Bacillati; Actinomycetota; Actinomycetes; Frankiales; Frankiaceae.